GACGAACCGUGCGAACGUUGUUCGGAAUCACUGGGUUUAAAGGGCGCGUAGGCGGCGUGUUAAGUCAGGGGUGAAAUCCCGGGGCUCAACCCCGGAACUGCCCUUGAAACUGGGUAGCUAGAAUCUUGGAGAGGUCAGUGGAAUUCCGAGUGUAGAGGUGAAAUUCGUAGAUAUUCGGAAGAACACCAGUGGCGAAGGCGACUGACUGGACAAGUAUUGACGCUGAGGUGCGAAAGCGUGGGGAGCAAACAGG
Molecule: ribosomal RNA, 253 nt
Filed under: uncultured bacterium
Lineage: Bacteria
Description: partial 16S ribosomal RNA
Rfam family: Bacterial small subunit ribosomal RNA
Source: RNAcentral